Molecule: long non-coding RNA, 211 nt
Filed under: Hordeum vulgare
Lineage: Eukaryota; Viridiplantae; Streptophyta; Magnoliopsida; Poales; Poaceae
Description: long non-coding RNA (HVUL_LNC007087)
Source: RNAcentral
CCACUCCAGUUCUCCUCCCACCUCGGGAUCCCCCAGACCCAAUCCAGCUAGUGCAUGGCAAGCCAACCACCCGUGGCCGAGGAGAUUGAGCCCCUGCGUUCCCUAUGUCCAAGGAGAGAUCCCGUUCCCAAGCUCCCUCAAACCCCCGCGUACGAGCCAGCUCGCAGGAGCCCCUCGCCGUCGCGCCCUGGGCCGUCGGAGCGUCGCCCCG